GUUAGUGGCUGGAGGGUGUGGGAGCUUGAUGCCUGGGGGCUUGAUUGGUGUUGGAUCUCCAUGCAAGACCCCACGGAGGUGUGCACUUUGGGGCCACACUGCUCUGCACGGGAUGGAGGUGAGGAUCCGCUCCCGGAGAGCGCCAAGGACGUGGGAAAGCCUCAGCAAGGGCACACAGCAGUCCGAGCCCUCCGCAGAGGCCCCGAGGAGGGGCGGGCGUCAGUCUGCGGGACCUCAUCACAAGAUCUGAGCGGUGGUCAGCUUCUGCAGCAGAGAGGGCAGUCAGGAAAUCUGCCUGCUUGGGGUUGCUGGGAAGCGUCUGGAUUUUUAGGCUUGGUGACCACAAAUCUGGGUUCGGGGGAGUGGCUGCACAGACCCCGUUCUGGACCUUUUCUGCCUCUGUAUUUGAAGCCCAGACCACGACGGGCUACCGGCUCUGUAUCUUCCAACAGCAAAUAAAUACGUUGAUUAGAGUCACAACUCUCGGGGAGGUUGACACAGACUAUAUUUGUG
Molecule: long non-coding RNA, 513 nt
Filed under: Bos indicus x Bos taurus (hybrid cattle)
Lineage: Eukaryota; Metazoa; Chordata; Mammalia; Artiodactyla; Bovidae
Description: lncRNA (ENSBIXG00000006170.1)
Source: RNAcentral